UUGGUUUGGGUUUAAAUUAAUAGGUAUGAGUGUUUUUUCUAGCUCUAAGUAGAAAGUUGAUAAAAAUUCACAUAUGCACCAUGAUUAUAAAAUACAAAUAUUAACUGGAAUUUAUGUGCAAAAACGAGUUCUUAAUUAUAAAAGUCUCAUACAACAUAUGCAAAAACAAUCCUAAAAGUAUAAUAAAAUGAUUUAUUACUUUUAUUUCUUUAUUAAAUUAAAACAUCGGGAAAAUCGCAUAAAAAACCUUGAAAGUGUCACUUACUAGCACUUUAAACCUUGAAGUUUUUUCACUAACACUUUUAACCUUCAAAGUGACAUUUUUAUCAUAAAAAACCUCUAAAGAAGAAAAAUGACCUGCUGAACAGGUUAAAAACAGUUUUUUUUUUCAAAAAAUAAUUAUUUAAUUAAUAAAUAAACAAAAAUUAUAAUAAAAUCAAAAAAUUUAACAAAAAACUCAUAAAUUAAAAAAAAGUGAGAAAAAUAAAUAAAGAUUUAGAAAAUUAAAUAAAAAAUAACUAAAAAUUAAAAAAUAAAUAAGAUGAAAUUAAAAUACAGAAAAAAUAAUAAUAAAUUUCAAAAAAUUGAAAAUUCAAAAAGUUUUUUUUUUCAUUUUCAAAUAUAAUGUCGGAAAUUAUCAUUGGAGAUAUGUGUUGAUAAAAAAAAGACUAAGAUAACACCAAACCAAGUUUUUGUUCUCAAACUAGUAUUCAAGGUUCAAAGUCACAAAAAUAAGUUUCAUUAAAGAGGUAAAUAUACACUUAUACCCCUUGGGUUAAUUAAUCCAAACUUUAGGGUUUAGAGUUAAGGGGUGAGGUUUUGGAAUUAGGGUUUAAAAUUUUAUAAAAUAAAAAAUAAAUACUAAAAAAUUAAAAAUAAAAAUUUAAAAAACAGUUUCAAAAAAUUUCACUUUUUUUUUUAAAUUUAUGUUUUUUUUAUUUUUCUCCAUUUUAAUUUGAUCUUAUUUAUUUUUUGAAUUUUUUUGUUAUUUUUUAUUUUAAUUUUUAAAUAUUUAUUUAUUUUUCUCAUUUUUUAAUUUGUGAGUUUUUUGUUAAAUUUUUUCGAUUUUUAGUAAUUUUUUUGUUUAUUUUAUUAAUUAAAUAAUUAUUUUUUGAAAAAAAAACUGUUUUAACCUGUUCAACAGGUCAUUUUUCUUGUUUGGAGGUUUUUUAUGAUAAAAAUGUCACUUUGAAGGUUAAAAGUGCUAGCGAAAAAACUUCAAGGUUUAAAGUGCUAGUAAGUGACACUUUCAAGGUUUUUUAUGCGAUUUUCCCUUAAAACAUCAAACAAAACUGUUGCAACGCACGGGCUUAUAUCUAGUUUGUAUAUAUUUUCAAGUACUUAAAGCAACUUAAAAGGAUCAUAUAUAUUCUUGAUGUUUUUAUAUACAUUAAAUUUAAAAAUAAUUAAUAUAUAUAGUAUAUAAAUCUAUUUCGGUUACAUUCGGAUACCUAAAAUACUUCGGUUUAGAUUGGAUUAGAUUUCACUUCUCUAAAUAACAAUAUUUUGAAUAAUUCGAAUAUUUAAUCUAUUUUGGUUUGAGUUUGGUACUACUUUUUCGGAUUGGGAUCAGUUUGGCUUUUCGAAUUCGGAUAUUUUGUCUAAUCCUAAAUAGUAA
RNAcentral lists this long non-coding RNA (1618 nucleotides) under Brassica rapa (field mustard). Its description in RNAcentral is "long non-coding RNA (BRAP_LNC007724)". The record is from RNAcentral. Lineage: Eukaryota; Viridiplantae; Streptophyta; Magnoliopsida; Brassicales; Brassicaceae.